CCCCUUGGUAUUCCAUGGGGCAUGCCUGUUCGAGCGUCAUUUGUACCUUCAAGCUCUGCUUGGUGUUGGGUGUUUGUCCUUGCUCCUAGGGAGUAGGACUCGCCUUGAAGUAAUUGGCAGCCAGUGUUUUGGUUUGAAGCGCAGCACAAGUCGCGAUUUAAGCUGAAUCAAUAGCUCUCCAUUAAGACAUCUAUCACUUUUGACCUCGGAUCAGGUAGGGAUACCCGCUGAACUUAAGCAUAUCAAUAAGCGGAGGAAAAGAAACCAACAGGGAUUGCCCCAGUAACGGCGAGUGAAGCGGCAACAGCUCAAAUUUGAAAUCUGGCUCUUUCAGGGUCCGAGUUGUAAUUUGCAGAGGGCGCUUUGGUGUUGGCAGCGGUCCAAGUUCCUUGGAACAGGACGUCACAGAGGGUGAGAAUCCCGUACGUGGUCGCU
RNAcentral lists this ribosomal RNA (435 nucleotides) under Dothideomycetes sp. genotype 157. Its description in RNAcentral is "eukaryotic LSU rRNA". The stretch from base 201 to 435 matches the Rfam family "Eukaryotic large subunit ribosomal RNA", at positions 1 to 233 of the family's 3401-position model. The record is from RNAcentral. Lineage: Eukaryota; Fungi; Ascomycota; Dothideomycetes.